Molecule: ribosomal RNA, 434 nt
Filed under: uncultured bacterium
Lineage: Bacteria
Description: partial 16S ribosomal RNA
Rfam family: Bacterial small subunit ribosomal RNA
Source: RNAcentral
AGCGAACGCUGGCGGCAGGCCUAACACAUGCAAGUCGAGCGGGCACUUUCGGGUGUCAGCGGCGGACGGGUGAGUAACGCGUGGGAACGUGCCCUCUGGUUCGGAAUAACUCAGGGAAACUUGAGCUAAUACCGGAUACGCCCUUUUGGGGAAAGGCUUGCUGCCGGAGGAUCGGCCCGCGUCUGAUUAGCUAGUUGGUGAGGUAACGGCUCACCAAGGCGACGAUCAGUAGCUGGUCUGAGAGGAUGAUCAGCCACACUGGGACUGAGACACGGCCCAGACUCCUACGGGAGGCAGCAGUGGGGAAUAUUGGACAAUGGGCGCAAGCCUGAUCCAGCCAUGCCGCGUGAGUGAUGAAGGCCUUAGGGUUGUAAAGCUCUUUUAUCCGGGACGAUAAUGACGGUACCGGAGGAAUAAGCCCCGGCUAACUUCGU